UUUUCCCUGGGUGGUGCGUGAUCGUCACCGGAAUUGCUGAGCCAACGAGUACACUUUGGGACGCAGCUUUCAGUACGGCCCGUGUGCAAGCCCGCUAUGCGGGAAGCCUGACGGCCGAACAGCAGCGCCCGCUCUGAGCCUUCGGUUCAGAAUACGAGACGACACGGCUACUCGGGGUCCCA
This 182-nucleotide non-coding RNA is filed under the name Desulfovibrio sp. X2. Its description in RNAcentral is "6S / SsrS RNA". It matches the Rfam family "6S / SsrS RNA". From Rfam's summary of the family: E. coli 6S RNA was the first non coding RNA to be sequenced, but its function was unknown until recently. It consists of 184 nucleotides that fold into an extended hairpin structure with a large single-stranded internal bulge. The record is from Rfam by way of RNAcentral. Lineage: Bacteria; Pseudomonadati; Thermodesulfobacteriota; Desulfovibrionia; Desulfovibrionales; Desulfovibrionaceae.